Molecule: transfer RNA, 67 nt
Filed under: Potamilus leptodon
Lineage: Eukaryota; Metazoa; Mollusca; Bivalvia; Unionida; Unionidae
Description: Leptodea leptodon tRNA-Asn
Source: RNAcentral
AGGGAUGAAGCUUAUAUAAGCAAUUAGCUGUUACCUAAUAGAUAGUGAUCAUACUCCACCUACCCUA